GACGAACGCUGGCGGCGUGCCUAAUACAUGCAAGUCGAACGCAGUGGGGACGGGUGAGUAACACGUGUGUCACCUCCCAUCAGAGGGGAUAACACUUGGAAACAGGUGCUAAACCGAUACUGAUGGAUGGACCCGCGGUGCAGUAGCUAGUUGGUGAGGUACCGGCUCACCAAGGCCACGAUGCAUAGCCGACCUGAGAGGGUGAUCAGCCACACUGGGACUGAGACACGGCCAAGAAGCCUACGGGAGGAAACAGUAGGGAAGCUUCGGCAAUGGACGAAAGUCGGACCGAGCAACGCCGCGUGAGUGAAGAAGGUUUUCGGAUCGUAAAACUCUGUUGUUAGAGAAGCGGUAUCUAACCAGAAAGCCACGGCUAACUACGUGCCAGCAGCCGCGGUAAUUC
Molecule: ribosomal RNA, 403 nt
Filed under: uncultured bacterium
Lineage: Bacteria
Description: partial 16S ribosomal RNA
Rfam family: Bacterial small subunit ribosomal RNA
Source: RNAcentral